CCUACGGGUGGCAGCAGUGGGGAAUAUUGGACAAUGGGGGGAACCCUGAUCCAGCCAUGCCGCGUGUGUGAAGAAGGCCCGCGGGUUGUAAAGCACUUUCAGUGAGGAAGAACGCCUGGUGGUUAAUACCCAUCAGGAAAGACAUCACUCACAGAAGAAGCACCGGCUAACUCCGUGCCAGCAGCCGCGGUAAUACGGAGGGUGCGAGCGUUAAUCGGAAUUACUGGGCGUAAAGCGCGCGUAGGUGGCUUGAUAAGCCGGUUGUGAAAGCCCCGGGCUCAACCUGGGAACGGCAUCCGGAACUGUCAAGCUAGAGUGCAGGAGAGGAAGGUAGAAUUCCCGGUGUAGCGGUGAAAUGCGUAGAGAUCGGGAGGAAUACCAGUGGCGAAGGCGGCCUUCUGGACUGACACUGACACUGAGGUGCGAAAGCGUGGGUAGCAAACAGGAUUAGAUACCCUUGUAGUC
RNAcentral lists this ribosomal RNA (465 nucleotides) under Vreelandella stevensii. Its description in RNAcentral is "partial 16S ribosomal RNA". It matches the Rfam family "Bacterial small subunit ribosomal RNA", at positions 338 to 795 of the family's 1533-position model. Lineage: Bacteria; Pseudomonadati; Pseudomonadota; Gammaproteobacteria; Oceanospirillales; Halomonadaceae. The record is from RNAcentral.